Molecule: long non-coding RNA, 456 nt
Organism: Drosophila kikkawai
Lineage: Eukaryota; Metazoa; Arthropoda; Insecta; Diptera; Drosophilidae
Source: RefSeq, a predicted model, not a curated record
UAACUCAUUUCACGUGUCUAGAUAGUAUUACGACAGCCCCCAUACAGGUCCCAUACAGGAGGGAGCUCCAAGCUCCACUUACACUCGCCUCGAACAUCGUUCUGAGAUAUUGGUUUAUUUUUUUUUUUUACUGGGACUCGUAAAAGUCAGUCACAGUAGCUGUCGCUGUACUUGGUCAAGUCAUCAGAAACGACGAUGUCGCUGUCCAAUAUGGUAUGGUUGAUUCCACACAGGUCUCACCAGUUAACUUCGCUCCACUGAUGCGCUUUUUUUCAAUUUGUCACGAGACAGAGAGUACGAGCAAGACGAGAGAAGGGAGUGAGACAGAGACGAAGAGGCAGAAAGCAAACCCACUUAAUUAAGUAUUUAUGAAAUUCAUAGAAAAAAUUGUAAUCUUUACUUUCGCUUGCAUGUGCUUGGACAAUUUAAUUAUGCAUUAAAUGGCCAUUACUUGGG